AUACGGAGGGUGCAAGCGUUACUCGGAAUCACUGGGCGUAAAGCGCGCGCAGGCGGCUUGAUAAGUUGGAUGUGAAAGCCUACAGCUCAACCGUAGAACUGCAUCCAAAACUGUCAAGCUAGAGUCUGGGAGGGGAAGAUGGAAUUAGUUGUGUAGGGGUAAAAUCCGUAGAGAUAACUAGGAAUACCAAAAGCGAAGGCGAUCUUCUGGAACAGUACUGACGCUGAGGCGCGAAAGCGUGGGGAGCAAACAGGAUUAGAAACCCGGGUAGUCC
RNAcentral lists this ribosomal RNA (274 nucleotides) under uncultured bacterium. RNAcentral describes it as "partial 16S ribosomal RNA". It matches the Rfam family "Bacterial small subunit ribosomal RNA", at positions 523 to 796 of the family's 1533-position model. The record is from RNAcentral.